Molecule: long non-coding RNA, 646 nt
Organism: Chenopodium quinoa (quinoa)
Lineage: Eukaryota; Viridiplantae; Streptophyta; Magnoliopsida; Caryophyllales; Amaranthaceae
Exons: 4
Source: RefSeq, a predicted model, not a curated record
UACUUAUUUUUUUGUUAAAAAAAAAAAAAUUAAAAGGGGUAGAUCUGGCAACGGCCAAUUGUGAAAAAAAAAACUCGGUUUUUCCUUUCUCAAGCCUCCUGUAUACUCCCUCCUGUUCUUCGUUCUUCUUCAAUUCAUUAAAAAACAUUGACGCGCGUUUUCCCUCCCCCCUUCUUCAUUCAGCAACUCCCCUCUUUGUUCCUCCAUUGAAGUGCUGCGAGCUUUCUCACCUCCGUUGAAGACAAUACUCGCGUCGUACUCCGGCAAUAACUCCCUCCAUUGAAACAUCUUCAACCGAAGAAGAUAAUUUUGUAGAAGAAAUGGGCCGAAGGCUCUGAAACCAACUCCAGUUAUAGUCCGAUGCAAAAAUAUGAUGUUUUGUUUGAGAGGAAUGGAAAACAAGGGAGCUUUUACCUCCAAUCGAAGUUUUGCAAGGGGCAAACAGGACAGCCAUACACGAGCGAGGAACUCCAUGUAAUUCGAGAGAUGUUGGCGACCUACAUCACAUUUAAUUUGUAAAUAUCGUUUACUAGCUAGCUACUUCAUCAAUUCUAGCCUUAGCUUACUAAUUAUGUACUAUACAUUAUUAUAACUAAUUAAAAUUGUUUGUAGGUAACAUGACACAUUUUUCUAAUUAAUAUCAUCU